GGAUCGAUAGCUCAGUGGUAGAGCGAGAGAUUGCAGUUCCUCAAAACAGCAACCAUCUCUAGGCCCCGCGUUCGAACCGCGGUCGGUCCU
Molecule: transfer RNA, 90 nt
Organism: Colletotrichum sublineola
Lineage: Eukaryota; Fungi; Ascomycota; Sordariomycetes; Glomerellales; Glomerellaceae
Rfam family: tRNA
About the family: Transfer RNA (tRNA) molecules are approximately 80 nucleotides in length.
Source: Rfam